UGAGGAAUAUUGGACAAUGGGCGCAAGCCUGAUCCAGCCAUGCCGCGUGCAGGAAGAAGCAUCUAUGGUGUGUAAACUGCUUUUGUACGGGAAGAAACACUCCUCCGUGAAGGAGCUUGACGGUACCGUAAGAAUAAGGAUCGGCUAACUCCGUGCCAGCAGCCGCGGUAAUACGGAGGAUCCAAGCGUUAUCCGGAAUCAUUGGGUUUAAAGGGUCCGUAGGCGGUUUAGUAAGUCAGUGGUGAAAGCCCAUCGCUCAACGAUGGAACGGCCAUUGAUACUGCUAGACUUGAAUUAUUAGGAAGUAACUAGAAUAUGUAGUGUAGCGGUGAAAUGCUUAGAUAUUACAUGGAGUACCAAUUGCGAAGACAGGUUACUACUAAUGGAUUGACACUGUUGGACGAAAGCGUGGGGAGCGAAAA
This 422-nucleotide ribosomal RNA is filed under the name uncultured bacterium. RNAcentral's name for it is "bacterial SSU rRNA". It matches the Rfam family "Bacterial small subunit ribosomal RNA", at positions 355 to 774 of the family's 1533-position model. The record is from RNAcentral.